UGCAGAAUCCCGUGAACCAUCGAGUCUUUGAACGCAAGUUGCGCCCCAAGCCUUCUGGCCGAGGGCACGUCUGCCUGGGUGUCACAAAUCGUCGUCCCCAUUCUUUGCGGAUAAGGGACGGAAGUUGGUCUCCCGUGUGUUACCGCACCCGGUUGGCCUAAAUCCGAGCUGAAGACGUUUGGAGCGUCUCGACAUGCGGUGGUGAAACAAAGCCUCGUCAUUUCGUCGGUCGCUCCUGUCCGAAUGCUCUUGAUGACCCAAUGUCCUUCACGCGACCCCAGGUCAGGCGGGAUCACCCGCUGAGUUUAAGCAUAUCAAUAAGCGGAGGAGAAGAAACUAACAAGGAUUCCCUUAGUAACGGCGAGCGAACCGGGAAGAGCCCAGCUUGAAAAUCGGACGUCUUUGGCGUUUGA
This 413-nucleotide ribosomal RNA is filed under the name Draba verna. Its description in RNAcentral is "eukaryotic LSU rRNA". The stretch from base 273 to 413 matches the Rfam family "Eukaryotic large subunit ribosomal RNA", at positions 1 to 141 of the family's 3401-position model. Lineage: Eukaryota; Viridiplantae; Streptophyta; Magnoliopsida; Brassicales; Brassicaceae. The record is from RNAcentral.